RNAcentral lists this ribosomal RNA (484 nucleotides) under uncultured bacterium. RNAcentral's name for it is "partial 16S ribosomal RNA". It matches the Rfam family "Bacterial small subunit ribosomal RNA", at positions 29 to 507 of the family's 1533-position model. The record is from RNAcentral.
AUUGAACGCUGGCGGCAUGCUUUACACAUGCAAGUCGAACGGCAGCGCGGGCUUCGGCCUGGCGGCGAGUGGCGAACGGGUGAGUAAUACAUCGGAACGUGCCCAGUAGUGGGGGAUAGCUCGGCGAAAGCCGGAUUAAUACCGCAUACGACCUGAGGGUGAAAGCGGGGGAUCUUCGGACCUCGCGCUAUUGGAGCGGCCGAUGGCAGAUUAGCUAGUUGGUGGGGUAAAGGCCUACCAAGGCGACGAUCUGUAGCUGGUCUGAGAGGACGACCAGCCACACUGGGACUGAGACACGGCCCAGACUCCUACGGGAGGCAGCAGUGGGGAAUUUUGGACAAUGGGCGAAAGCCUGAUCCAGCAAUGCCGCGUGUGUGAUGAAGGCCUUCGGGUUAUAAAGCACUUUUGGCGGGAACGAAAAGGACUGUGCCAAUACCACGGUUCGAUGACGGUACCCGCAGAAUAAGCACCGGCUAACUACGUG